Molecule: unclassified non-coding RNA, 393 nt
Filed under: soil metagenome
Description: partial contains 5.8S ribosomal RNA, internal transcribed spacer 2, and large subunit ribosomal RNA
Rfam family: 5.8S ribosomal RNA (bases 1-120)
Source: RNAcentral
GAUGAAGAACGCAGCGAAAUGCGAUACGUAGUGUGAAUUGCAGAAAUACGUGAACCAUCGAAUCUUUGAACGCAUAUUGCGCUCGAGGCUUCGGCCGAGAGCAUGUCUGCCUCAGCGUCGCUUUAACCCCUCACACCCCAACCCCUGGGUUGGUUCUGUGUGGAACUGGCUUUCCCAGCGCCUCGUGUGCUGGGUUGGCUGAAGCGCAGAGGUUGAUGCAUGGACCCGUUAUGGGCCUCAGCUGGGUAGGCAACUUGUUGCUCAUGCUUUAGCUGCUGGCUUGGGACUGUGCUGUCAACCCGAACCAGGAAUCGGUGCAAGCCGAAUCUUAAUUUUCGACCUGAGCUCAGGCAAGAACACCCGCUGAACUUAAGCAUACCAAUAAGCGGAGGA